This 505-nucleotide ribosomal RNA is filed under the name uncultured bacterium. RNAcentral describes it as "partial 16S ribosomal RNA". It matches the Rfam family "Bacterial small subunit ribosomal RNA", at positions 28 to 507 of the family's 1533-position model. The record is from RNAcentral.
GACGAACGCUGGCGGCGUGCCUAAUACAUGCAAGUAGAACGCACAGUUUAUACCUUAGCUUGCUACACCAUAAACUGUGAGUUGCGAACGGGUGAGUAACGCGUAGGUAACCUGCCUGACAGCGGGGGAUAACUAUUGGAAACGAUAGCUAAUACCGCAUAAUAUUAAUUAUUGCAUGAUAAUUGAUUGAACGAUGCAAUUGCAUCACUACCAGCUAGACCUGCGUUGUAUUAGCUAGUAGGUGAGGUAACGGCUCACCUAGGCGACGAUACAUAACCGACCUGGGGGGGUGAUCGGCCACAAUGGGACUGAGAAACGGCCCAGACUCCUACGGGAGGCAGCAGUAGGGGAUCUUCGGCAAUGGACGAAAGUCUGACCGAGCAACGGCGCGUGAGUGAAGAAGGUUUUCGGAUCGUAAAGCUCUGUUGUAAGAGAAGAACGGGUGUGAGAGUGGAAAGUUCACACUGUGACGGUAUCUUACCAGAAAGGGACGGCUAACUACGUG